RNAcentral lists this RNase P RNA (362 nucleotides) under Ilumatobacteraceae bacterium. RNAcentral's name for it is "RNase P RNA component class A". It matches the Rfam family "Bacterial RNase P class A". Rfam says of the family: Ribonuclease P (RNase P) is a ubiquitous endoribonuclease, found in archaea, bacteria and eukarya as well as chloroplasts and mitochondria. The record is from RNAcentral. Lineage: Bacteria; Bacillati; Actinomycetota; Acidimicrobiia; Acidimicrobiales; Ilumatobacteraceae.
UGAGUCGGCCGGGUGGCCGCGGCACGACGUGAUCGUGUCGAGGAAAGUCGGGACUCCACAGGGCAGAGUGCUGGCGUGAGCCAGGUUGGGGCGACCUAACGGAAGUGCAACAGAGAGAGACCGCCGAUGGGCCAGCUUGUUGGCCACAGGUAAGGGUGCAACGGUGCGGUAAGAGCGCACCAGCGUGUGAGGCGACUUGCACGGCUCGGUAAACCCCACUCGGAGCAAGGCCAAGCAGAGAGCAUGGGCGGCCCGUCCGCCAGCCGCAAGGUUGGCAACUCUCGGGUAGGCCGCAUAGAGGGAUGGUCACCCGCACCGGUUCACCGGUGCGACAAAAUCCCGCUUAUAGGCCGACUCACCAC